GACGAACGCUGGCGGCGUGCUUAACACAUGCAAGUCGAACGGAAAGGCCCUGCUUUUGUGGGGUGCUCGAGUGGCGAACGGGUGAGUAACACGUGAGUAACCUGCCCUUGACUUUGGGAUAACUUCAGGAAACUGGGGCUACUAUCGGAUAGGAGCCCCCGCUGCAUGGUGGGGGUUGGAAAGUUUCGGCGGUUGGGUAUGGACUCGCGGCUUAUCAGCUUGUUGGUGGGGUUGUGGCUUACCAAGGCUUUGACGGGUAGCCGGCCUGAGAGGGUGACCAGCCACAUUGGGACUGAGAUACGGCCCAGACUCCUACGGGAGGCAGCAGUGGGGAAUAUUGCACAAUGGGCGGAAGCCGGAUGCAGCGGCGCCGCGUGCGGAAUGACGGCCUUCGGGUUGUAAACCGCAUUCGCCUGUGACGAAGCGGGAGUGACGGUAAUGAGUAAAGAAGCACCGGCUAACUACGUG
This 468-nucleotide ribosomal RNA is filed under the name uncultured bacterium. Its description in RNAcentral is "partial 16S ribosomal RNA". It matches the Rfam family "Bacterial small subunit ribosomal RNA", at positions 28 to 507 of the family's 1533-position model. The record is from RNAcentral.